UAUACUGAGCCGGCUUGUGCACGAUCCAGUUGGUUGCCUCCUGUCAGGAUGCUGAAGACACCAGCCUUCCUGUGUUCAGUACAGCGCUGUCUACAAGGGUGUGCUGUGAUGGCCACUGACGGACAAGUGGGUAAAGAAAAUGCUCUACAUGUGGUGUUCCAUUGUUGAAGAGAAGGAAAGUCUACAGUGUGUGACAGAGGUGGAUAAUGGGUGGGGACGCUAAGUGAAACAAGUCGGAUAAGCAGAAAAGCGAGCAUUGGCUGCUUGCCUGCAGGAGGGCAUCCGAACCAGGUUCUUGAACCGUAAGUGCAGCGUGGUUCGAGGACCGAGGCAGAACUCUUCUUCUCCACCCAGGGCUCAUCGACUGAGUAGAUGGUAGAAUCGAUCCACACUGAUGCGGGGGGACAGGAACUGCCGUGUUCUCUUCAGCAGCCUUGUGUCUUUCAGGCAUGAAAUCAUCAACAUCAACCUGAAGAAUAAGCCCGAGUGGUUCUUUGAGAAGAAUCCCUUUGGGCUGGUGCCGGUUCUGGAGAACACUCAGGGUCACUUGAUCACUGAAUCUGUCAUCACUUGCGAGUACCUGGAUGAAGCAUACCCGGAGAAGAAGUUAUUCCCAGAUGACCCGUACGAGAAAGCUUGCCAGAAGAUGACCUUUGAGUUAUUCUCAAAGGUG
This 673-nucleotide long non-coding RNA is filed under the name Rattus norvegicus (Norway rat). Its description in RNAcentral is "long non-coding RNA NONRATT001849". The record is from RNAcentral. Lineage: Eukaryota; Metazoa; Chordata; Mammalia; Rodentia; Muridae.